Molecule: unclassified non-coding RNA, 213 nt
Filed under: uncultured Lactifluus
Lineage: Eukaryota; Fungi; Basidiomycota; Agaricomycetes; Russulales; Russulaceae
Description: sequence contains ITS1
Source: RNAcentral
UCGUAUAACGGAGAUGCCUAAGGCUGUCGCUGACCUCCAUAGAUCGUGCACGCCCGAAGGUGCUCUCUCACAUCCAUCUCACCCCUUUGUGCAUCACCGCGUGUGCUCCCCUAUUGGGCUUGUUCCAAAGGAGGGUUCGCGUUUUUAUACAAACACCAAUUUUAAAAAGCAUGUGUAGAAUGUCUUACUUUUUGUGAUUACUCGCAAUCAAUA